Molecule: ribosomal RNA, 996 nt
Filed under: Coryphaenoides filifer (filamented rattail)
Lineage: Eukaryota; Metazoa; Chordata; Actinopteri; Gadiformes; Macrouridae
Description: partial 16S ribosomal RNA
Rfam family: Bacterial large subunit ribosomal RNA
Source: RNAcentral
AGGAGUUAGUCAGAAGAGGUACAGCUCUUCUGAUAAAAGAAACAACUUUAGUAGGUGAAACAGGAUCAUAUCAACCAAGGACUAAGAUUUAAGUGGGCCUAAAAGCAGCCAUCUUUAAAGAAAGCGUUAAAGCUCCAACUAACUUUCCUCCCCUUUUAUACUGAUAUUUAAUCUCCUCCCCCCUACCACCUACCGGGCUAUCUUAUGCCCACAUAAGAAUAAUUAUGCUAAAAUGAGUAAUAAGAAGAAACCAUUUCUUCUCCUAGCAUACGUGUAAGUCGAACCGGACCCCCCACCGAUUAUUAUCCGACCCCAAUCCCAGAGGGCCAUUAAGUUAAAAAAACAAGAAAAUCACUUAAUCAAAAUCGUUAAUCUCACACAAGAAUGCAUCAAGGAAAGACUAAAAGGGAAGGAAGGAACUCGGCAAACCCAAGCCUCGCCUGUUUACCAAAAACAUCGCCUCUUGAUCUAUAAAUAUAAGAGGUCUCGCCUGCCCAGUGACUAAAUGUUAAACGGCCGUGGUAUCUUAACCAUGCGAAGGUAGCGUAAUCACUUGUCUUUUAAAUGAAGACCUGUAUGAAUGGCAAAACGAGGGCUUAACUGUCUCCCUUCCCCAGUCAAUGAAAUUGACCUCCCCGUGCAGAGGCGGGGAUAAACAUAUAAGACGAGAAGACCCUGUGGAGCUUUAGACUUAAAAUAACCACGUUAAACAAACUCCAAUAUGAGAAAAAACCUAGUGAGCUUUAUUUAAAUGUCUUUGGUUGGGGUGACCGCGGGGCAAAACACAGCCCCCAUGAAGAUAGGGGAGAUAUCCCUAACACUAAGAGUUACCCCUCUAAGCAACAAAAAUUUUGACUUUAAAAAUGAUCCGGUUUAACCGAUUAACGAACCCAGUUACCCCAGGGAUAACAGCGCAAUCCCCUCCCAGAGCUCCUAUCGACGAGGGGGUUUACGACCUCGAUGUUGGAUCAGGACAUCCUAAUGGUGCAGCCGCUA